RNAcentral lists this non-coding RNA (21 nucleotides) under Arabidopsis thaliana (thale cress). The record is from RNAcentral. Lineage: Eukaryota; Viridiplantae; Streptophyta; Magnoliopsida; Brassicales; Brassicaceae.
CCAAAUGCAUGUUCGAUGUCC